RNAcentral lists this unclassified non-coding RNA (652 nucleotides) under Hevea brasiliensis (rubber tree). The record is from RNAcentral. Lineage: Eukaryota; Viridiplantae; Streptophyta; Magnoliopsida; Malpighiales; Euphorbiaceae.
CUUGGCCACUCCUAUUAAGGUUUCGCAUCGAGAAAAUAAAGAGUUACCUAACGAUUAUCACCCUCGGAAAACCGAAGCACAGCAAGCAUUUUCACACGAGCUGAAACCAGAGGAAUCACAGUCGAUUCAACUAGAGCUAUUCCUUCUGUUGUCACAAGAAGUGCUUACUAUUCAUAUUCAUCGCCUUGAGGCCUGGUCUUUAUUGCCCUGAGCAACUCCUAAAGAAAAGAAAGAAGGGCUUUCCUCCUAACCUAAACUAAAGGCUAAGAUGACACCGCUUAUUCCAUCAAACCUGAAAAGAGCUGAUUCUUCCUCCACCUCUGAAAGCAGGAGGUAGGGAAAGAUGACAUGAGCUUAGAGGAGUUGAAUUAGCUUCCAAUCCUAGCAUACUCAAGUCAGCAUUCCCAAGGCACCAGCAUAAUCCGAGUGUUUACUCUCCACUCGCUAAGCCGCUGGGAUACCGCUGCCUCAAAGGCUAAACCACGGCACUAUGCUUAACACAUCGAAUUGAAUUGGGCCUAAGGGGCUCUAAGCUAAGGUGUAGAUUGAUUUUUUUCGGAGCUGAGGUUGGCCCUAGAUAUGUCGGUUCGAUUCCGACCUGUUCUAUGUGAUGGUCAUUCUUAUGUGAUGAUCAUGGUCUUCCCCAAGAUGA